RNAcentral lists this small nucleolar RNA (107 nucleotides) under Helianthus annuus (common sunflower). RNAcentral's name for it is "Plant small nucleolar RNA R71". It matches the Rfam family "Plant small nucleolar RNA R71". From Rfam's summary of the family: R71 is a member of the C/D box family of snoRNAs containing the C (UGAUGA) and D (CUGA) box motifs. Multiple nearly identical copies of this snoRNA have been identified in Arabidopsis, and it is thought to function as a 2'-O-ribose methylation guide for 18S ribosomal RNA. Lineage: Eukaryota; Viridiplantae; Streptophyta; Magnoliopsida; Asterales; Asteraceae. The record is from RNAcentral.
AAUCCAUGGUACAGACAUUUUCUUAAAAGUUCUUUAAGACGUUUCCAUGUUUCAUAUAAAGAUUCCUCGUCCUCUUGUUGGAAAGAAUUAAUUUCAGUUAUUAGUUU